AGAUUGAACGCUGGCGGCAUGCCUUACAUAUGCAAGUCGAACGGCAGCACGGGAGCAAUCCUGGUGGCGAGUGGCGAACGGGUGAGUAAUACAUCGGAACGUGCCCAAUCGUGGGGGAUAACGCAGCGAAAGCUGUGCUAAUACCGCAUAAGAUCUACGGAUGAAAGCAGGGGAUCGCAAGACCUUGCGCGAAUGGAGCGGCCGAUGGGCAGAUUAGGUAGUUGGUGAGGUAAAGGCUCACCAAGCCUUCGAUCUGUAGCUGGUCUGAGAGGACGACCAGCCACGACUGGGACUGAGACACGGGCCCAGACUCUACGGGAGCAGCAGUGGGAAUAUGGACAAUGGGCGAAAGCCUGAUCCGAGCCAGUCGACCGCGUGUGUAGAAGAAGGUC
RNAcentral lists this ribosomal RNA (392 nucleotides) under uncultured soil bacterium. RNAcentral's name for it is "bacterial SSU rRNA". It matches the Rfam family "Bacterial small subunit ribosomal RNA", at positions 26 to 416 of the family's 1533-position model. The record is from RNAcentral.